AUACUGCCGUUCCACCGGUCUUCGCCCGUAAGGCCGGAUCUGGGGCGUCGACUCAACGGGCUGGUCGUCUGGAAGCUGCCCGUCUUCCAGGGGAUGAGAUCCAACAGGCUAGUUCCGGGAAAUCUAUGUUCCGACUGAGUUCCCGGCACGAAAACUAAAGCGCGGAACUAAGCAUGUAGAUACGAGAGGGGAGCAUUUGCGGACGCGGGUUCGACUCCCGCCGCCUCCACCA
This 232-nucleotide transfer-messenger RNA is filed under the name Pseudomonadota bacterium. RNAcentral's name for it is "Proteobacteria bacterium (marine sediment metagenome) partial transfer-messenger RNA". It matches the Rfam family "transfer-messenger RNA", at positions 136 to 374 of the family's 374-position model. From Rfam's summary of the family: Bacterial tmRNA, also known as 10Sa RNA or SsrA, is named for its dual tRNA and mRNA-like properties. Its role is to liberate the mRNA from a stalled ribosome. To accomplish this part of the tmRNA is used as a reading frame that ends in a translation stop signal. The record is from RNAcentral. Lineage: Bacteria; Pseudomonadati; Pseudomonadota.